AAAUUUCAACGUGUUGGUUUUCACUUUCAACUCGUUAGUUUUCACUUUCAACGAGUUGGUUGUGAAAACUAACGCGUUGAUUUGUCAU
RNAcentral lists this small RNA (88 nucleotides) under Mytilus galloprovincialis (Mediterranean mussel). Lineage: Eukaryota; Metazoa; Mollusca; Bivalvia; Mytilida; Mytilidae. The record is from RNAcentral.